RNAcentral lists this ribosomal RNA (508 nucleotides) under uncultured bacterium. Its description in RNAcentral is "partial 16S ribosomal RNA". It matches the Rfam family "Bacterial small subunit ribosomal RNA", at positions 30 to 523 of the family's 1533-position model. The record is from RNAcentral.
AUUGAACGCUAACGGCGUGCUUAACACAUGCAAGUCGAGCGGCAGCAUGAUCUGUAGCAAUACAGAUUGAUGGCGAGCGGCGGACGGGUGAGUAAUGCAUAGGAAUCUGCCUUGUAGUGGGGGAUAACCCGGGGAAACUCGGGCUAAUACCGCAUAAUCUCUACGGAGCAAAGUGGGGGAUCGUAAGACCUCACGCUAAAAGAUGAGCAUAUGUUGGAUUAGCUAGUCGGUGAGGUAAUGGCUCACCAAGGCGACGAUCCAUAGCUGGUCUGAGAGGAUGAUCAGCCACACUGGGACUGAGACACGGCCCAGACUCCUACGGGAGGCAGCAGUGGGGAAUAUUGGACAAUGGGCGAAAGCCUGAUCCAGCAACGCCGUGUGUGUGAAGAAGGCCUUCGGGUUGUAAAGCACUUUUAGUUGGGAAGAAAAGCUCAUGGGUAAUAUCCAUGAGUGCUGACGUUACCAACAGAAAAAGCACUGGCUAACUCUGUGCCAGCCGCCGCAGUAA